AGAGUUUGAUCCUGGCUCAGGAUGAACGCUGGCGGCGUGCCUAACACAUGCAAGUUGAGCGAUUUACUUCGGUAAAGAGCGGCGGACGGGUGAGUAACGCGUGGGUAACCUGCCCUGUACACACGGGUAACAUACCGAAAGGUAUGCUAAUACGAGAUAAUAUGCUUUUAUCGCAUGGUAGAAGUAUCAAAGCUUUUGCGGUACAGGAUGGACCCGCGUCUGAUUAGCUAGUUGGUAAGGUAACGGCUUACCAAGGCGACGAUCAGUAGCCGACCUGAGAGGGUGAUCGGCCACAUUGGAACUGAGACACGGUCCAAACUCCUACGGGAGGCAGCAGUGGGGAAUAUUGCACAAUGGGCGAAAGCCUGAUGCAGCAACGCCGCGUGAGCGAUGAAGGCCUUCGGGUCGUAAAGCUCUGUCCUCAAGGAAGAUAAUGACGGUACUUGAGGAGGAAGCCCCGG
Molecule: ribosomal RNA, 461 nt
Filed under: uncultured bacterium
Lineage: Bacteria
Description: bacterial SSU rRNA
Rfam family: Bacterial small subunit ribosomal RNA
Source: RNAcentral